ACAUCUGUCUCGUGAACUUAGUGGAAAUCGGUCAGAAGAAGAGCACAAAGUAGGAACAGGCCCUGAUAAGCCACGUCAGAUAAGAUCAUACGAAAUAGUACAUAGGUCUUGGCGAAGCACGAUUCACAUUUUAGAUCGGAGAAAAUGAUGCUGAAGGUUUGUUUAUACCUCUCCUGUGUUUCUUUGGCGUUGGCUGCAACGACAAUGCACCCACAUAAUCAUCAUUCCACACAGGAACGCACCCCACGCAUGAGCCAUCAGUAUUCGAGUCCUUCUCUUUCUACUAUGAUUAUCAUACGCAUAUCCUGCUAGUCAGAGCAUCCAAACAUAAGUGCUACAUCUAUCAGACGAGCGCACAGCAACAGCUAGAUGUUCAUUCAUCACAUGGACUCCAUACGAUUGAGAAAAAUGUAAUUGACAUCAUCGACUCCAACGCCCCUAUGACGACUCUCACACAGGAUGAUUUGGUUGCCAUGAGUACCAUACUGGGGAAAAAGUGUGUGCAUAAUGCAAUUUAUCAGAUCAACUAGGUUGUCCCGAAUUAAAGGCAUCCAUUACACUGACGUGUUAGAAAUAGUUGUGGAAUAAAAAGGCGCGAUGUU
Molecule: long non-coding RNA, 602 nt
Organism: Ostrea edulis (European flat oyster)
Lineage: Eukaryota; Metazoa; Mollusca; Bivalvia; Ostreida; Ostreidae
Exons: 4
Source: RefSeq, a predicted model, not a curated record